This 399-nucleotide ribosomal RNA is filed under the name uncultured bacterium. RNAcentral's name for it is "partial 16S ribosomal RNA". It matches the Rfam family "Bacterial small subunit ribosomal RNA", at positions 359 to 776 of the family's 1533-position model. The record is from RNAcentral.
GAAUAUUGCACAAUGGUGGAAACUCUGAUGCAGCGACGCCGCGUGAGUGAAGAAGGUCUUCGGAUCGUAAAACUCUGUCCUUGGUGAAGAUGAUGACGACAGCCAAGGAGGAAGCCCCGGCUACCUACUUGCUAGCAGCCGCGGUAAUACGUAGGGGGCUAGCGUCGUCCGGAUUUACUGGGCGUAAAGGGUGAGUAGGCGGUUAUGUAUGUCAGAUGUAGAAGGCGUGGGCUUAACUUACGUUAGCAUUUGAAACUGCAUAACUUGAGUGCGGGAGAGGUAAGUGGAAUUCCUAGUGUAGCGGUGAAAUGCGUAGAUAUGAGGAGGAACACCAGUGGCGAAGGCGACUUACUGGACCGUAACUGACGCUGAGUCACGAAAGCGUGGGUAGCAAACAGG